Molecule: transfer RNA, 71 nt
Filed under: Gloeobacterales cyanobacterium ES-bin-313
Lineage: Bacteria; Bacillati; Cyanobacteriota; Cyanophyceae; Gloeobacterales
Rfam family: tRNA
About the family: Transfer RNA (tRNA) molecules are approximately 80 nucleotides in length.
Source: Rfam by way of RNAcentral
GCGAGUGUAGUUUAGUGGUAAAACCUCAGUUUUCCAAACUGAUGUUGCGAGUUCGAUUCUCGCCACUCGCU